This 301-nucleotide ribosomal RNA is filed under the name uncultured bacterium. Its description in RNAcentral is "partial 16S ribosomal RNA". It matches the Rfam family "Bacterial small subunit ribosomal RNA", at positions 509 to 807 of the family's 1533-position model. The record is from RNAcentral.
CAGUAGCCGCGGGAAUACGGAGGGUGCAAGCGUUAAUCGGAAUUACUGGGCGUAAAGCGCACGCAGGCGGUCUGUCAAGUCAGAUGUGAAAUCCCCGGGCUUAACCUGGGAACUGCAUUUGAAACUGGCAGGCUAGAGUCUUGUAGAGGGGGGUAGAAUUCCAGGUGUAGCGGUGAAAUGCGUAGAGAUCUGGAGGAAUACCGGUGGCGAAGGCGGCCCCCUGGACAAAGACUGACGCUCAGGUGCGAAAGCGUGGGGAGCAAACAGGAUUAGAGACCCGAGUAGUCCCUGUCUCUUAUAC